UUGCUUCUCUUGAGAGCGGCGGACGGGUGAGUAAUGCCUAGGAAUCUGCCUGGUAGUGGGGGAUAACGUUCGGAAACGGACGCUAAUACCGCAUACGUCCUACGGGAGAAAGCAGGGGACCUUCGGGCCUUGCGCUAUCAGAUGAGCCUAGGUCGGAUUAGCUAGUUGGUGAGGUAAUGGCUCACCAAGGCGACGAUCCGUAACUGGUCUGAGAGGAUGAUCAGUCACACUGGAACUGAGACACGGUCCAGACUCCUACGGGAGGCAGCAGUGGGGAAUAUUGGACAAUGGGCGAAAGCCUGAUCCAGCCAUGCCGCGUGUGUGAAGAAGGUCUUCGGAUUGUAAAGCACUUUAAGUUGGGAGGAAGGGCAGUUGCCUAAUACGUAACUGUUUUGACGUUACCGACAGAAUAAGCACCGGCUAACUCUGUGCCAGCAGCCGCGGUAAUACAGAGGGUGCAAGCGUUAAUCGGAAUUACUGGGCGUAAAGCGCGCGUAGGUGGUUUGUUAAGUUGGAUGUGAAAUCCCCGGGCUCAACCUGGGAACUGCAUUCAAAACUGACUGACUAGAGUAUGGUAGAGGG
RNAcentral lists this ribosomal RNA (582 nucleotides) under Pseudomonas sp. NARs9. RNAcentral's name for it is "bacterial SSU rRNA". It matches the Rfam family "Bacterial small subunit ribosomal RNA", at positions 80 to 658 of the family's 1533-position model. Lineage: Bacteria; Pseudomonadati; Pseudomonadota; Gammaproteobacteria; Pseudomonadales; Pseudomonadaceae. The record is from RNAcentral.